RNAcentral lists this ribosomal RNA (128 nucleotides) under uncultured eukaryote. Its description in RNAcentral is "partial small subunit ribosomal RNA". It matches the Rfam family "Eukaryotic small subunit ribosomal RNA", at positions 1651 to 1776 of the family's 1831-position model. The record is from RNAcentral.
CCCUGCCCUUUGUACACACCGCCCGUCGCUACUACCGAUUGAAUGGUUUGGUGAGCCUCACGGAUUGGCGGCCUCGCUGGCUUCGGCUUGUUUGGCUGUCGAGAAGUGAUGCAAACCUGACUAUUUAG